Molecule: small nuclear RNA, 181 nt
Organism: Anopheles nili
Lineage: Eukaryota; Metazoa; Arthropoda; Insecta; Diptera; Culicidae
Product: U12 minor spliceosomal RNA
Exons: 1
Source: RefSeq, a predicted model, not a curated record
GUGCCUUAAACUAAUGAGUAAGGAAAAUUACGGGCCUUGGUGAUGCUUGGCUCUGCCUACAAACCAACGGGUGCGCCCUCGUGGCACGCUCGGUAGGUGCAUAUUUUUGUAGGGGCACAGGUCGUCCCUGAGCUUGUCCUGCCUACUUUGCAGGAUGCUCGGGAGCAUUGCGAUCUGCCUC